Molecule: small nuclear RNA, 190 nt
Filed under: Chelydra serpentina (North American snapping turtle)
Lineage: Eukaryota; Metazoa; Chordata; Testudines; Chelydridae
Description: U2 spliceosomal RNA (ENSCSRG00000012747.1)
Rfam family: U2 spliceosomal RNA
About the family: U2 is a small nuclear RNA (snRNA) component of the spliceosome (involved in pre-mRNA splicing). Complementary binding between U2 snRNA (in an area lying towards the 5' end but 3' to hairpin I) and the branchpoint sequence (BPS) of the intron results the bulging out of an unpaired adenosine, on the BPS, which initiates a nucleophilic attack at the intronic 5' splice site, thus starting the first of two transesterification reactions that mediate splicing.
Source: Rfam by way of RNAcentral
AUCAUUUUAACAUUAGCUUGACUCAAAAUUUUAAAUCUGUUCUUAUGGCUUUAAUAACUGAUACUUCCUCUAUCUGAGGACUAUCUAUUAACUGAUUUUUGGAAUAGGGAGAUGGAAUGGCAGCUUUCUCCAUCCACUGCACACAUCGCCGUUAUUGCAGUACUGGACCUCCAGGAACGGUGGACCUCCC